RNAcentral lists this ribosomal RNA (550 nucleotides) under uncultured bacterium. RNAcentral describes it as "bacterial SSU rRNA". It matches the Rfam family "Bacterial small subunit ribosomal RNA", at positions 777 to 1315 of the family's 1533-position model. The record is from RNAcentral.
AAUAGAUACCCGGGUAGUCCACGCCGUAAACGGUGGGCACUAGGUGUGGGCGGCAUUCCGCGUCGUCCGUGCCGUAGCUAACGCAUUAAGUGCCCCGCCUGGGGAGUACGGCCGCAAGGCUAAAACUCAAAGGAAUUGACGGGGGGCCCGCACAAGCGGCGGAGCAUGUGGCUUAAUUCGACGCAACGCGAAGAACCUUACCAAGGCUUGACAUACACCGGAAAACCGUGGAGACACGGUCCCCCUUGUGGUCGGUGUACAGGUGGUGCAUGGCUGUCGUCAGCUCGUGUCGUGAGAUGUUGGGUUAAGUCCCGCAACGAGCGCAACCCUUGUCCUGUGUUGCCAGCACGCUCCUUCGGGGGGUGGUGGGGACUCACGGGAGACUGCCGGGGUCAACUCGGAGGAAGGUGGGGACGACGUCAAGUCAUCAUGCCCCUUAUGUCUUGGGCUGCACACGUGCUACAAUGGCCGGUACAAUGAGCUGCGAUACCGCAAGGUGGAGCGAAUCUCAAAAAGCCGGCCUCAGUUCGGAUUGGGGUCUGCAACUCGA